Molecule: ribosomal RNA, 289 nt
Filed under: uncultured bacterium
Lineage: Bacteria
Description: partial 16S ribosomal RNA
Rfam family: Bacterial small subunit ribosomal RNA
Source: RNAcentral
GUGGAUUAGAUACCCUGGUAGUCCACGCCCUAAACGAUGUCUACUAGUUGUCGGGUUUUAAUUAACUUGGUAACGCAGCUAACGCGUGAAGUAGACCGCCUGGGGAGUACGGUCGCAAGAUUAAAACUCAAAGGAAUUGACGGGGACCCGCACAAGCGGUGGAUGAUGUGGAUUAAUUCGAUGCAACGCGAAAAACCUUACCUACCCUUGACAUGGCAGGAAUCCCGGAGAGAUUUGGGAGUGCUCGAAAGAGAACCUGCACACAGGUGCUGCACGGUCGUCGACAACU